UGCAUAGGAAGGUCCUGAUUACC
This 23-nucleotide microRNA is filed under the name Canis lupus familiaris (dog). The record is from RNAcentral. Lineage: Eukaryota; Metazoa; Chordata; Mammalia; Carnivora; Canidae.